GGUCUGGAUUAAGCUGUGUUUUGCUGUUAGUUUUGUAGCACACUACUUUGUAAGGAAUAAUGGCUUUCAGUAGCCCUACUAAAAUACCACGUGUGGAGGGAGAAGAAUUUUUGAGAAUCAGAGAGAAGUUCUGUUUAUUAGCAUAUGCGGUUUUGGAUGAGACUGUGUGCAAAGGAGAUUUGCAGAAGGAUUUGACAGAGCUAGGAGUGAAGGUCAUGAGGAAAGUAUCUGCAAUGGAUGCAGAAAGAAAAUAUCUGCGUAAGAAGUUGGCAGACACAGUCUGCAGGUUGAAGAAUACAGAAAAGGAGCUGGAAGUGGCAAGGGCUUCCCUGGAUUUUCAGGGAGAUGAUAUUUUGGAAGAUGGCAGAGAAGAUGGGAGUGAAAUUGAAAGUUUGGAUAUUGUGGAAGAAGAUAAUGUAGAUGAAUAAAG
This is a long non-coding RNA of Cyprinus carpio carpio, 430 nucleotides long. The record is from Ensembl. NCBI's taxonomy places the organism in Eukaryota, Metazoa, Chordata, Actinopteri, Cypriniformes, Cyprinidae.